This 253-nucleotide ribosomal RNA is filed under the name uncultured bacterium. RNAcentral describes it as "partial 16S ribosomal RNA". It matches the Rfam family "Bacterial small subunit ribosomal RNA", at positions 524 to 776 of the family's 1533-position model. The record is from RNAcentral.
UACGUAGGGUGCGAGCGUUGUCCGGAAUUAUUGGGCGUAAAGGGCUCGUAGGCGGUCUGUCGCGUCAGGAGUGAAAACUCGGGGCUUAACCCCGAGCCUGCUUCUGAUACGGGCAGACUAGAGGUAUGCAGGGGAGAACGGAAUUCCUGGUGUAGCGGUGAAAUGCGCAGAUAUCAGGAGGAACACCGGUGGCGAAGGCGGUUCUCUGGGCAGUACCUGACGCUGAGGAGCGAAAGUGUGGGGAGCGAACAGG